RNAcentral lists this unclassified non-coding RNA (86 nucleotides) under Pseudomonas sp. B10. The record is from RNAcentral. Lineage: Bacteria; Pseudomonadati; Pseudomonadota; Gammaproteobacteria; Pseudomonadales; Pseudomonadaceae.
UGUGGGAGCUGGCUUGCCAGCGAUGCGAGCGACUCGGUCUGUCGCCAAACCGGUUUGAUGCCAUCGCUGGCAAGCCAGCUCCCACA